RNAcentral lists this transfer RNA (60 nucleotides) under Zootermopsis nevadensis. It matches the Rfam family "tRNA", at positions 7 to 64 of the family's 71-position model. Rfam says of the family: Transfer RNA (tRNA) molecules are approximately 80 nucleotides in length. Their secondary structure includes four short double-helical elements and three loops (D, anti-codon, and T loops). Lineage: Eukaryota; Metazoa; Arthropoda; Insecta; Blattodea; Termopsidae. The record is from Rfam by way of RNAcentral.
AUAGUCUAGCGGUUAGAACGCUGGCCUUGUAAUCCUGGGGUCUCGGGUUCGAUUCCCGGU